RNAcentral lists this unclassified non-coding RNA (220 nucleotides) under plant metagenome. Its description in RNAcentral is "partial contains small subunit ribosomal RNA, internal transcribed spacer 1, and 5.8S ribosomal RNA". The record is from RNAcentral.
UUUCCGUAGGUGAACCUGCGGAAGGAUCAUUACAGAGUUCAUGCCCUCACGGGUUGAUCUCCCACCCUUGAAUAUUUAUACCUUAGUUGCUUUGGCAGGCUGUGGAAACACCAUGGGCUCCGGCUUAUGCGUGCCUGCCAGAGGAAACAAACUCUGUUUUUAGUGAUGUCUGAGUACUAUAUAAUAGUUAAAACUUUCAACAACGGAUCUCUUGGUUCUG